CACAAAGUGAUGAAGGGAGUGCAGGAUGAACCUGGCAAAGGAACAAGGAGAUGGAAGCCCAGUGCUGGGAGAAGCCAGCCACGCCUCAGAGAUACAGAAUGUCAAUGUACUUCGUGCUGUGACCCAGUGGCCAGGAGGAUGUUUUGGCUGGAAAAGGAAACUGCAAUGGAUAACUUCAGAAAGUUCAGUCUCCUCUCUUGAGAGCUCCAGGAGGCUCAGGGCUUCAGGCACAAGGGCUGUGCCAACAGGACUUGGGCACCAAACUGCCUCUGCAGGAAAGGAACACUCAUCUCCUCCUCAUCUAUGCACUGUGGUGCCAUGAGAAAUAGUAUCUGUGCCUGAGUGGCCCACAAAUGAGUUCCUUCAAUGAAAACAAUAAUCUGAUUUUUUUUAUCUAAUAACAUUUUGGAGGAUACGCCUGUCUUCUCUCAGAAUCUGAUUUUCUUGAUAUCUACAAAAAUGUCCUGAGCAAAAAUUGUCAAAU
This 484-nucleotide long non-coding RNA is filed under the name Junco hyemalis (dark-eyed junco). RNAcentral describes it as "lncRNA (ENSJHYG00000007610.1)". The record is from RNAcentral. Lineage: Eukaryota; Metazoa; Chordata; Aves; Passeriformes; Passerellidae.